CAGGAGCCUAAAGAGAUGUCUUUCUAUGGUCUGUUGGCGAUUUCAGAACUUGGGCAGUGAAAUGGUCAAUUCAUUAGAAAGAAACAACU
Molecule: small nucleolar RNA, 89 nt
Organism: Cavia porcellus (domestic guinea pig)
Lineage: Eukaryota; Metazoa; Chordata; Mammalia; Rodentia; Caviidae
Source: Ensembl